UCUAGUCGACCUUUCUCUAUGGCACUCCUUAACCGCUGGAGUUGCUGGGCUUGCUAGGGCUCCGGAGAAAACUCCACCUCGGGGCACAUAUCCUGCCAGUGUUGGUCAUGGUGCCGCUCCCAAGACUAGCAGUCUUUGAUCUGGAUUACACACUCUGGCCUUUCUGGGUCGACACGCACGUAGAUCCUCCGUUCCACAAGAGCAGUGAUGGAACCGUGCGAGAUAGGCGGAACCAGGACAUCCGACUGUACCCAGAGGUUCCUGAGGUUCUGGAACGAUUGCAGCGCCUUGGGGUGCCCGGUGCGGCCGCUUCACGGACAGGUGAGAUAGAAGGAGCCAACCAGCUACUGGAGCUCUUUGACCUUGUCAGAUACUUUGCUCAUCGGGAAAUCUAUCCAGGCAGUAAGGUCACACACUUUGAGAGGUUGCAGCAGAAGACUGGAGUUCCUUUCUCCCAGAUGAUCUUCUUUGAUGAUGAGAGGCGAAAUAUUGUGGAUGUCAGCAAACUGGGUGUUACCUGCAUUCAUGUCCAGAAUGGAAUGAAUCUUCAAACCCUAACUCAAGGGUUAGAGACAUUUGCAAAGGCUCAUACUAGCCCCUGAGGUCCAGCCUGGUGAAUGAACCUCACUUAAGGCCUAACACCGAAAAGAAAUCAAGACAGCAUUUGCAGUUUCUGUUUUUCUAGACUGUGAACUGGAUCGUUGUCCUGAAAUGCGAAGACCCCAGUAAGACAUGAUGCUGCAUGAGGUUGUGCCAUGUAAACUUGUGAAGACCGUGAUCCCUUUGGGCUGGAACC
RNA transcript from Nycticebus coucang (slow loris), 796 nucleotides. It is a transcript of the gene named magnesium dependent phosphatase 1, with no coding region annotated. Lineage: Eukaryota; Metazoa; Chordata; Mammalia; Primates; Lorisidae. The transcript has 7 exons. The record is from RefSeq and is a predicted model, not a curated record.